GAUGAAGAACGUAGCGAAAUGCGAUAAGUAAUGCGAAUUGCAGAAUUUCCGUGAGUCAUCGAAUCUUUGAACGCACAUUGUGCCCACUGGUAUUCCGGUGGGCAUGCCUGUUCGAGCGUCAUUAUCCUCCCUCAAACCCCGGGUUUGGUGUUGGACCGAAGUUGUGUGAACAACUGGUCUAAAAAACAAUGACGGCGUCCGUGGGACCCUCGGUGCAACGAGCUUUUAGGAGCACGCGCCGAGUUGCAAGGACCUUCCGGGCCGGUCUCCUUUUACUAUUUUACAAGGUUGACCUCGGAUCAGGUAGGAAUACCCGCUGAACUUAAGCAUAUCAAUAAGCGGAGGA
This 346-nucleotide unclassified non-coding RNA is filed under the name soil metagenome. RNAcentral describes it as "partial contains 5.8S ribosomal RNA, internal transcribed spacer 2, and large subunit ribosomal RNA". The stretch from base 1 to 121 matches the Rfam family "5.8S ribosomal RNA", at positions 35 to 154 of the family's 154-position model. The record is from RNAcentral.